UGGGGAAUAUUGCGCAAUGGGGGCAACCCUGACGCAGCAAUACCGCGUGAGUGAAGAAGGUUUUCGGAUCGUAAAGCUCUGUUAUUGGGGAAGAAGAAUGACGGUACCCAAUGAGGAAGUCCCGGCUAACUACGUGCCAGCAGCCGCGGUAAUACGUAGGGGACAAGCGUUGUCCGGAAUGACUGGGCGUAAAGGGCGCGUAGGCGGUCUAUUAAGUCUGAUGUGAAAGGUACCGGCUCAACCGGUGAAGUGCAUUGGAAACUGGUAGACUUGAGUAUUGGAGAGGCAAGUGGAAUUCCUAGUGUAGCGGUGAAAUGCGUAGAUAUUAGGAGGAACACCAGUGGCGAAGGCGGCUUGCUGGACAAAUACUGACGCUGAGGUGCGAAAGCGUGGGGAGCGAACAGG
Molecule: ribosomal RNA, 405 nt
Filed under: Acidobacteriota bacterium
Lineage: Bacteria; Pseudomonadati; Acidobacteriota
Description: Acidobacteria bacterium partial 16S ribosomal RNA
Rfam family: Bacterial small subunit ribosomal RNA
Source: RNAcentral